Molecule: RNA transcript, 1446 nt
Organism: Capsicum annuum
Lineage: Eukaryota; Viridiplantae; Streptophyta; Magnoliopsida; Solanales; Solanaceae
Gene name: anthranilate synthase beta subunit 2, chloroplastic
Exons: 8
Source: RefSeq, a predicted model, not a curated record
GUUUUCCAUUGAUAAACACUUAUACAAUCUCUCACUCUUCCCACCUCCCUUUACCGCCGCCGCAAAUCUCCGGCGCCGAUCAGACAAACGACACCGUUUCAAUGGCCGGAAUAAUUUAUCCUCCGCCGUCCUCUUCACAAUCCGCCAUCAUUCACGUCAACAACAAAAACACAUCUCUCCUCGGCAGCUCCGGCUCCGGCGGCGCUAUUCUGCGAAUGAGAAGCUUAAAACGGCUACAAACGACGAAGUCGGCGAUUUCUGUAUCGCAGAAUAGUUCAGUUAGUUGCGUUGAAUUAUCUGAAAAGGAUAAUGGUCAAAGGAUUAAGAAGAGUCCGAUUAUUGUUAUUGAUAAUUAUGAUAGCUUCACUUAUAAUCUCUGUCAGUAUAUGGGAGAGCUUGGAUGCAAUUUCGAGGUUUAUCGGAACGACGAGCUUACUGUGGAUGAACUGAAGAAGAAAAAUCCAAGGGGAAUAUUAAUUUCACCUGGACCAGGUACACCUCAGGAUUCAGGGAUAUCACUGCAGACCGUACUGGAACUUGGACCAACUGUUCCGUUAUUUGGUGUUUGUAUGGGUUUGCAAUGCAUGGGAGAGGCUUUUGGAGGAAAGGUUGUGCGUUCUCCAUAUGGGGUGAUGCAUGGAAAAAGCUCCCCCGUAUAUUUUAAUGAAGGUGGGGAAGAUGGCCUAUUUGCAGGGCUAUCAAACCCAUUCACAGCCGGUAGAUACCACAGUCUGGUAAUAGACAAGGCCACUUUCCCCCAAGACGCCCUUGAGAUAACUGCAUGGACAGAAGAUGGUCUUAUCAUGGCUGCUCGUCACAAAGUUUACAGACACAUACAGGGGGUACAAUUCCAUCCUGAAAGCAUCAUCACAACUGAAGGCAAGACAAUAGUUGGCAAUUUUGUGAAAUUGAUAGAGAGGAAGGAAGAAGAAGCAGGAUCUCAAUCUCAAAACUAGACAACUCUCUUUACUCACUGUACAAUAUUGUGGUCUUGCCUCACUAAAACGAUGCAAAGAAGGUAUUGAUGAGCCGAGGGGUCUACCGGAAACAAUCUCUCUAUCACAAAGGUAGGGGUAAGGUCCGUGUACAUUCUACUCUCUUCGGACUCCACUUGUUCGAUUAUACUUUUCUUCUUGUUUUAACUUUAUUGCUUUAGUCCUUAAAAAGAAGUGAUCAGUAAAUUUCUUCAAGACAACAAACAAAGCCUUUGUGUUUUCUUUUUAUCUUUUGAUAUCAUCACCUUUAACGGGUCUUGCAUAAUUAUUGAAUAUCCAACUUCCUCAAAAUCUGUAAUAUUCUCUUAUGGUGGAUAUUCAGCAUAUACGCACUCGAAAUUUCUUAUUUUAUCUCUAAAUAACUACUGUAUUGUUUAUUUAUCUAGAAAAUACAAUAAAAUCAUUAUAAGUUGUAAGAGUUGACUAAAAUAUUUAAUUAGUUAUUGUGGAA